Molecule: long non-coding RNA, 2297 nt
Organism: Oncorhynchus tshawytscha (Chinook salmon)
Lineage: Eukaryota; Metazoa; Chordata; Actinopteri; Salmoniformes; Salmonidae
Source: Ensembl
UGUAGACCUUCUAUAACCAUCCCAGACCUUAUAUCCACUUAGACCCUAUCGGAUCACAUAUAGAUCCCUGUAGACCUUAUAUCCACUUAGACCCUAUCGGAUCACAUAUAGAUCCCUGUAGACCUUAUAUCCACUUAGACCCUAUCGGAUCACAUAUAGAUCCCUGUAGACCUUCUAUAACCAUCCCAGACCUUAUAUCCACUGAGACCCUAUCGGAUCACAUAUAGAUCCCUGUAGACCUUCUAUAACCAUCCCAGACCUUAUAUCCACUUAGACCCUAUCGGAUCACAUAUAGAUCCCUGUAGACCUUCUAUAACCAUCCCAGACCUUCUAUAACCAUCCCAGACCGUAGUCCCUCCGAUGGGCAUUCCAUGUAUUUUGGUGGAAUGGCAAGGCAAUGAUGUGUAGACUUUUCUCCACGUCAUACUGCGGUAGGGCAUUACGUUAUGUCCUUUUACGCUGGCAGUCCAGUUCUUAUCUUUUACCCAAUAAUUGGCAAAAUAUCAAUUAGGUGGCAAAAGAUCAGAACUGGGCUGCCUGUGUAAAGGUAGCCAGAGGACUUCUGAAAGACACCCGGCAUAGAGACGAAUGUUCAGGUGUCUACAAUGGAUCGUGGCAGACAGGUAGGUGUGACAGAAAGGACAGAACACCACCCCCCUCAGGUGAGAGAACACAAACACCUCAGGUGAGACAGAACACCCCCCCCUCAGGUGAGAGAAUAAACACCUCAGGUGAGACAGAACACACACACACCCCUCAGGUGAGACAGAACACACACACACACCUCAGGAGAGACAGAACACACACACACCCCUCAGGUGAGACAGAACACACACACACACCUCAGGUGAGACAGAACACACACACCUCAGGAGAGACAGAACACACACACACACACCUCAGGUGAGACAGAACAAACACACACCUCAGGUGAGACAGAACACACACACACCUCAGGAGAGACAGAACACACACACACACCUCAGGUGAGACAGAACAAACACACACCUCAGGUGAGACAGAACACACACACACACACACACCUCAGGUGAGACAGAACACACACACACCUCAGGUGAGACAGAACACACACACACACCUCAGGUGAGACAGAACACACACACACACCUCAGGUGAGACAGAACACACACACACACCUCAGGUGAGACAGAACAAACACACACCUCAGGUGAGACAGAACACACAGGCCGCUUCCCAAUUGGCUCAUAGGUCUCUGAUGUAAAGUUGUGCACUAUAAAGGGAAUAAGGUGUUAUUUGGGAAGCAGACGGAUAUAUAGGUCAUAUCUAAAGGUACUGUACUACUGUAUCCAGGCAGGGACAAGGUUACACUGGGAUGUUGUGAUAUAUAGGUCAUAUCUAAAGGUACUGUACUACUGUAUCCAGACAGGGACAAGGUCACACUGGGAUGUUGUGAUAUAUAGGUCAUAUCUAAAGGUACUGUACUACUGUAUCCAGACAGGGACAAGGUCACACUGGGAUGUUGUGAUAUAUAGGUCAUAUCUAAAAAGGUACUGUACUACUGUAUCCAGACAGGGACAAGGUCACACUGGGAUGUUGUUAUAUAUAGGUCAUAUCUAAAGGUACUGUACUACUGUAUCCAGACAGGGACAAGGUUACACUGGGAUGUUGUGAUAUAUAGGUCAUAUCUAAAGGUACUGUACUACUGUAUCCAGGCAGGGACAAGGUUACACUGGGAUGUUGUGAUAUAUAGGUCAUAUCUAAAAAAAAAACCUAACACCUCACCUGUCCUGUCCAAACUAACACCUCACCUGUCCUGUCCAAACUAACACCUCACCUGUCCUGCCCAAACUAACACCUCACCUGUCCUGCCCAAACUAACACCUCACCUGUCCUGCCCAAACUAACACCUCACCUGUCCUGCCCAAACUAACACCUCACCUGCCCUGUCCAAACUAACACCUCACCUGUAUCAGAGGUUGCCCAUCCAUCCUACAGCUGUCUUCUCUAAUAUGGACAUCAACUGUGUUAUAAGAUAUUUGUGUUUUUAUUGGCUGAUAAAGUCCUGUAAUGAGAUAACAAGCAACCUGAACAGAAAACCACUAGGUUUUGGAUAUCUGAGUGGAUCGAGAGGCUUUGAGCCUUGAGGAGAACCAGAAAGUGAAGACUCACUAUAUCAUUUUUGUUCCCUGUAACAGGGGGAGAGACAUGGGAAUCAUUCAACAGGUGAAGGGGGGAGAGAGGGGAAGAGACAUGGGAUUCAUUUAACAGGUGAAGGGGGAGAGAGGGGAAGAGAAUCAUUUAACAGGUGAAGGGGG